AAGUUUUGUCUUUUGCUUAUGUCUAAGUAGGGAGCAUUAUUGAAUAAAUUUGGUUGUGGAAUCUAAAGUUGGGGAGAGUAAAGAAAAAAGAGUUGAUCAGAAAAUUGGGAAAGUGAGUUUUUAUGAAAGGGAGAAAUGAGUAAAGAAAAAAGAGUUGAUCAGAAAAUUGGGAAAGUGAGUUUUUAUGAAAGGGAGAAAGUAUGGAAAGAAACAAGAAAAAGAAAUCACCCUUGAAACCAUAGAGCAAAGAAAAUGAAAAAAAAAGAAAAAAAAAGCAAAGAAAAUGCUCAUGGUUGUGUGGUUGUGAAAAGAAAAAGAAAAAGAUAGGGAUCAAAGAAAUGGAGAUUGUAUAGAGUUGAAUGUUUGGGAAGGCUCCCUUAAGAUAGG
Molecule: long non-coding RNA, 387 nt
Filed under: Lathyrus oleraceus (garden pea)
Lineage: Eukaryota; Viridiplantae; Streptophyta; Magnoliopsida; Fabales; Fabaceae
Description: Pisum sativum (pea) long non-coding RNA (PSAT_LNC009835)
Source: RNAcentral